UGGGCAACAGAGCGAGACUCUGUCUCAAAAAAAAAAAAGAAAAUUGAACAGAGAUUAUAACACUUUUACCAUAUCUAUCCAUUUAUCAUUCCUAAUUUCAUCUAUUACUCUUACUCUUUGGUGUAUUUCAAAGGAAAUUCCAGACCCUAAUAGUUUAAAAAGCUUUUUGUUAUUUCAAUCCUACAGAAGAGUUACGAGAAUAAAGAUGGCACAAAGUACAACUGUAUGCCCUUGACCCCAAUUCACCUGGAGCUCACGUUUACUUCAUUCGUGUCAUCAUCUGCAUGUGCUCCCUCUCUAGAUCUGUAUGGAUAUAAGCACAUUUUUCCUUGGACUUUGUGAGGCGUUGUAAAUGGACGAGCCUGCUUGCUGCAGAGGUAACCCUCGGGACCUGGGACACUGUUUGUUGUAUAACACAGCGUUGUAAAUGGACGAGCCUGCUUGCUGCAGAGGUAACCCUCGGGACCUGGGACACUGUUUGUUGUAUAACACAGCGUUGUAAAUGGACGAGCCUGCUUGCUGCAGAGGUAACCCUCGGGAAGUCUGGUUCCCCCGAAUUUUACCUGCUCAUCUCUGGGCCAAGGGCAUAAUAUCUCUGCACAGCUAAUAGCCCGAUGGCCACACUAGUCCAGAAGCUCCGCUCUGCACAGAGUUGGAAGUUCAUCUACUUCUCAGUGAACAACAUCAUGAGUUCUUCAAAAUUGAUGCCGGUGUAGGCCAGACAACCAUGAAGGGAUGCUGGUGUACGUCAGCCCAAGGUAGGAGGAAGGGCUGGGCAAGGCAGGGAGAGGAGGCCCCAGACCUUUCUACCAAAGCCUAUUUACCCGGAGGAGCACAGACCAGACUCUCGUUCCUGUCCUCCCUGUCGUUCCUGACUCUAGGUAACCUUGGUGGACCCCUGUAACUGUCUGGCUCUAGGAUUCCUCUUCUGCACAAGAGUGAUGCUACCUCAUGAGCUUGUGGGGACUCUCACAUGCUGAGCUUUUUACAUAAAAAAAUAGCACAGGACUACAUGAGUAUAUUCUCAUUGCAAAAAAUCAAAACAUGGAAAAGCAAAAGUGCAAGUUUCUGUUCUCCAAACUUCCUUACCCCCUCCGCCCCCCACCUGCCCAAUUCCUUCCCUUCCCUUUUUGGGUAUCCAUAUAGACAGUUUCCUUCACAUUUACUUACAGACAUAGACUUAUAUGACAAAUAGUUUUGUUUUUGGUGUUUCCCUCUAACAUUUUGUCCAGAAAAUCAUAUAGAAAAGUUGAAAGAAUUGCAGAAUGAACACUCUUACAAUCACCUAGGUUUUAGAGUAAACACUUUGCUGUACUGCGUUAUCACACGCCUCCUUAUUUACCCAUGCUUCCUUUCCUCCAUCUGUCCUUUUACACUUUCACUUUAGCAUACGGUGAGUUGCACCAAUCUAGAGUCAACAUUGUGUAAGGGUUUUUUUUUGUUUUCGUUGUUGUUUUUUGAGAUAGGGUCUUGCUCUGUCUCCUCGGCGGUGGCAUGCAUG
Molecule: long non-coding RNA, 1501 nt
Filed under: Homo sapiens (human)
Lineage: Eukaryota; Metazoa; Chordata; Mammalia; Primates; Hominidae
Description: HSALNT0331374
Source: RNAcentral